AAGCAGUGGAGUAUGUGGUUUAAUUCGAAGCAACGCGAAGAACCUUACCAGGGCUUGACAUCCCUUGAAGCAGCUAGAGAUAGCUGUGUCCUUCGGGACAAGGAGACAGGUGGUGCAUGGUUGUCGUCAGCUCGUGUCGUGAGAUGUUGGGUUAAGUCCCGCAACGAGCGCAACCCUUGUCAUUAGUUGCCAUCAUUUAGUUGGGCACUCUAAUGAGACUGCCGGUGACAAACCGGAGGAAGGUGGGGAUGACGUCAAGUCCUCAUGGCCCUUAUGGGUAGGGCUUCACACGUCAUACAAUGGUCGGUAACAGAGGGUUGCCAAGCCGCGAGGUGGAGCCAAUCCCUUAAAGCCGAUCGUAGUCCGGAUCGUAGUCUGCAACUCGACUACGUGAAGUCGGAAUCGCUAGUAAUCGCAGACCAGCAUGCUGCGGUGAAUACGUUCCCGGGCCUU
RNAcentral lists this ribosomal RNA (453 nucleotides) under uncultured Thauera sp. RNAcentral describes it as "bacterial SSU rRNA". It matches the Rfam family "Bacterial small subunit ribosomal RNA", at positions 927 to 1382 of the family's 1533-position model. The record is from RNAcentral. Lineage: Bacteria; Pseudomonadati; Pseudomonadota; Betaproteobacteria; Rhodocyclales; Zoogloeaceae.